Anas platyrhynchos (mallard) is the source of this 1776-nucleotide long non-coding RNA. RefSeq lists it as uncharacterized. The record is from RefSeq and is a predicted model, not a curated record. Lineage: Eukaryota; Metazoa; Chordata; Aves; Anseriformes; Anatidae.
UCUCACAAGUCUGCCCCAGGGUUAGGAGCUGUCCCGUGUCAGAGCUGGCCCUCAGCCCGGGCAGAUGCAACCCCCUGGAGAGCCUGUUGGCGUGCUCGGGGUCACGAUGUGACGAUACGCCACCUCCUUCCCCCAUCCAGGCUGACAGGAACCGCUCGUCACACUACCCACACGUAGGAUGAGAGGCUCGAGGAGGCCUCUUCUCUUCUCCCGGCGUUGAAGCAGCACCAAGCUUACCGCCAUCACGAGGCUCCCAUCAGCUUGCACACACGCUGCAGGCCCUGCAGUGGGAUGCUGUGAAGAAUUUCUAGUCUUGUUGUCAAUCAUCAAGCUCAGUUUCACAACAUUAAUCAGAAACUGCGUUUCAGAUGUCCUGACGUCUGCUCCUCUACUAGAGAGAGACAACCACUGAAAAAAUCACUCCACAAACCAUCAUUCAUACAAGUAUGUUGUACGAGGUGGUGACUGGGCCCUCAUUUCUGCCUGCAACAAAAUCUUCCUUGCAUCAUCAGGAAAAACUCUUGACAAAAAGAUGCUCCAACAAUUAGCUGAAGAGAAGGAAGUUGGACACAUUUAAGGAAAAUCCUACAAGCCUUUCUCGCACCCUUCCUCCUAAGGUUUUAUUUUUUAACUAAAGAAAAUUGCAGCUUCUUUUGAUGUUAGCAGUACAAAGAAUGAGUGAAUUGGUUGAUGGCAAAUUCGUUGUUACUGUCUGACUGGAGACAAACGCACCGAGGAGCCCAUUUUAUCAAUUUCUGAUAAAUCCCUACUAGAAGGAGAUGAGGAAAACACUGGGAAUGUUGGGACUUCUGCUACAGGAAAGCGACAAAUCAUUCAUGAGCUUCAGAUGACCAAAGGAUGAGAUUUAGGAAAGGAUUCAAUUAAGGGAAUGCAAAAACGGCAGCUCUCCCCCCCAGAAAAUGUUAUAAGGAAAUACCAUAUCGAUGAAUUACUCUUGGAUAGCCGCCACUGCUUUACGUAUUGACGUUAUGCCUUGUUAGGUCACAUCCUUGAUUUUUUUUUUAGUGGUGCCUGGGACAAUGCUGUUUACAAGAAAGGAGGAUACUCCUUUCCUUGUAAAGGAAAAUAUAUUCAUACCACCCUACGAACUAGCAAAUGUCUUUGAUUGUACAGCUUGCUGAAAGCCGAGUUGCACCAUUUUUUUCACGUGAUCUCCUUUCUCUCUUAGGAGAGGCAGCUCUCCCCGUUUCCCAUAUACGUACCUGCCAUGGUAUACUCUGUAAAAUACUUCCUAGCCAAACUUGACAAAUAAAAAUGUAUUGUGGACAACUAACAAGCAUCCACUGAAGUAGCUACCAUGUGCAUCUACUUCAAUUAGAUUUAUUUUACCAGAAUUGAAAGAAAAUGCUUUAUAAAAGUCCUCUUGAAAGUGAUGCAUGUGGUUAAGAUAUUUUGAUAAUGUUAUCUCAUGUAUAUGGUUAAUGCCAACUCGCCAUCUGUUUGCACAAACAGGAAACACCUCCUGAUAUCUGUCCUGUUCACCUUUUCUUAACACAACAACCACAGCGAAAGAAAAAAAAAAAAAAAGGAAAUUGCUUUGCAUUUCAUCUUUUAAAGUAACAUUUUUAGAGUUUGCUGCUCUGCAUAGGCGCCAUUACUUAGCAUUUGGUAUAAAUGUUGUCUUCUUACAUACAAAAUUUCAUUAAAAAUAUACGUAUAAUGUACUGAAAACAAAAAAAACUCUCAUUUGCUUUUCAGAUGACUCCGAAGUAUGCGUACCGAUAAAAUAAAGAAAAAGUGUGGUUGUGAAUGACA